This 918-nucleotide ribosomal RNA is filed under the name uncultured Lentimicrobium sp. Its description in RNAcentral is "bacterial SSU rRNA". It matches the Rfam family "Bacterial small subunit ribosomal RNA", at positions 8 to 924 of the family's 1533-position model. Lineage: Bacteria; Pseudomonadati; Bacteroidota; Bacteroidia; Bacteroidales; Lentimicrobiaceae. The record is from RNAcentral.
AGAGUUUGAUCCUGGCUCAGGAUGAACGCUAGCGGCAGGCUUAAUACAUGCAAGUCGAACGGGAUUCGGGGUAGCAAUACUUUGAUGAGAGUGGCGCACGGGUGCGUAACGCGUAUGCAACCUACCUUUAACAGGGGAAUAGCCCCGAGAAAUCGGGAUUAAUACUCCGUAACAUUGCGGUGUGGCAUCACACUGCACUUAAAGCUGAGGCGGUUAAAGAUGGGCAUGCGUGACAUUAGCUAGUUGGUGAGGUAACGGCUCACCAAGGCAACGAUGUCUAGGGGUCCUGAGAGGGUUAUCCCCCACACUGGUACUGAGACACGGACCAGACUCCUACGGGAGGCAGCAGUAAGGAAUAUUGGUCAAUGGGCGCAAGCCUGAACCAGCCAUGCCGCGUGCAGGAAGACGGCCCUAUGGGUUGUAAACUGCUUUUGUCAGGGAAUAAACCCCCGCUCGUGAGCGGGGCUGAAGGUACCUGAAGAAUAAGCAUCGGCUAACUCCGUGCCAGCAGCCGCGGUAAUACGGCGGAUGCAAGCGUUAUCCGGAUUCAUUGGGUUUAAAGGGUGCGCAGGCGGAUUGGUAAGUCAGGGGUGAAAUCCCACAGCUCAACUGUGGAACUGCCUUUGAUACUGUCAGUCUAGAGUAUAGUUGAAGUUGGCGGAAUGUGUCAUGUAGCGGUGAAAUGCUUAGAUAUGACACAGAACACCGAUCGCGAAGGCAGCUAGCUAAGCUAUAACUGACGCUCAUGCACGAAAGCGUGGGGAUCAAACAGGAUUAGAUACUCUGGUAGUCCACGCUGUAAACGAUGAUUACUCGAUGUUGGCGAUACACAGUCAGCGUCUGAGCGAAAGCAAUAAGUAAUCCACCUGGGGAGUACGAUCGCAAGAUUGAAACUCAAAGGAAUUGACGGGGGCCCGC